CUACGGGUGGCACCAGUAGGGAAUAUUGGACAAUGGGCGAAAGCCUGAUCCAGCAACACCGCGUGCACGAUGACGGCCUUCGGGUUGUAAAGUGCUUUUAGAGGAGAUGAGAAAGGACAGUAUCCUCUGAAUAAGCCUCGGCGAACUACGUGCCAGCAGCCGCGGUAAAACGUAUGAGGCAAGCGUUGUCCGGAUUUAUUGGGCGUAAAGCGCGUGCAGGCGGUCUAGCAAGUUGGAUGUGAAAGCUCCUGGCUUAACUGGGAGAGGUCGUUCAAUACUGUUAGACUAGAGAAUAGGAGAGGGAGGUGGAAUUCCGGGUGUAGUGGUGAAAUGCGUAGAUAUCCGGAGGAACACCAGUGGCGAAAGCGGCCUCCUGGACUAUUUCUGACGCUAAGACGCGAAAGCUAGGGUAGCAAACGGGAUUAGAUACCCCGGUAGUC
Molecule: ribosomal RNA, 440 nt
Filed under: uncultured bacterium
Lineage: Bacteria
Description: partial 16S ribosomal RNA
Rfam family: Bacterial small subunit ribosomal RNA
Source: RNAcentral